UAUGUCAACAAGACUAUACAAAUAAACGAACAGCUUCACAGUAUAUUCGUUCAAUCAUACAUUCCAACACAUUCGUAUAUAAGCCAACUGUGCUUUGAAAGGGUUCAACAUACUUUGUGUCAUUUGACACUUGCUACAAUGUGCCUAUACACCUUGCCCUUAUUCUCGCCAACCAGGUGAUGAAAUGUACAACUCGUACUCUCCUUCGUACCACCAACCAGGUGAUGAAAUGUACAACCCGUACUCUAAUA
This 251-nucleotide long non-coding RNA is filed under the name Malus domestica (apple). RNAcentral's name for it is "long non-coding RNA (MDOM_LNC012043)". Lineage: Eukaryota; Viridiplantae; Streptophyta; Magnoliopsida; Rosales; Rosaceae. The record is from RNAcentral.